UUUUUUUCCACAGAGACUUGCUCUGUCGCCCAGGCUGGAGUGCAGUGGCAUGAUCUUGGCUUAGUAGCUGGGACUACAGGCGUAUGCCACCAUGCCCAGCUAAUUUUUUGUAUUUUUAGUAGAGAUGGGGUUUCACCAUAUUGCCCAGGCUGGUCUCGAACUCCUGAGCUCAGGCAGUCCACCCACCUCAGCCUCCUAAAGUGCUGGGAUUACAGGCAUGAGCUACCACGCCCGACCAUUUUGCUUUUUUAUAUGGACACUAUGAAUCAUGGACUGAUAGUGUGUUACACUUAGCAGCAAGGAAGCUCUGAGCCAAUUUGUAGCCUACCUUUGCAUCAGGGGUGGCUUAAUCAGACUUAAAGACCUAUUUGAAAUUCUCUGCCUAAGUUGGAGUCAAAACUGCUCAAGGUUCAAAUAGUAUUACAGACCUGUUUAGUCUUUAACUAUUAAAAAGAACUACCAUGUUCUCACUCAUAAAUGGUAGCUAAAUAAUGUGUACACAUGGACGUGGAUAAUGGAGUGAUGGGUAAAGGAGACUUGGAAGGGUGGGGUGGAAGAGUGGGGUGGGAGGGAGUAGAUGAGAAAUAAUGAGUACAAUGUAUGUUAUUUGGGUGACGGAUACCCUAAAAACCCUCACUUUGCCACUAUGUGGUCUAUGCAUAUAACAAAAUUGUGCUUGUACCCCAUAAAUGUAUACAAUUAUUUUAACCUCCAUGUCAGAAUCCACCCUUCCUUAUUUAGUGAAUUGCUCCUUUAUUCAGUGAUUCUUAACUGAGGGUAUGCAUACAUCUUUGGGGCUGAGUGGAAGAAGGUGGUGGUAGUGAGAUGCCCUUUCUAGGGAUACAAAAUGUGCUAGAUUUGUUUGUAACAUACAUUAUUGAAAACAAGUUAAGCCAUAACUAUAAUUCACCAAUAAAGGACUUACAGGUGUUCAUAACUUGUCUAAGCUCAAAUCUCCCAUAUAUAACUUGCUGGCAAAUCAUUUAUUCCAGGGCAUUAGCUAUGAGUUGCUAGCUUUAAGUUGAACUAUAUCCUGUCAUGGCUUACUUCGAAUUGACAUGCUGCAGGC
Molecule: long non-coding RNA, 1069 nt
Filed under: Homo sapiens (human)
Lineage: Eukaryota; Metazoa; Chordata; Mammalia; Primates; Hominidae
Description: HSALNT0096947
Source: RNAcentral